Molecule: long non-coding RNA, 326 nt
Filed under: Nicotiana benthamiana
Lineage: Eukaryota; Viridiplantae; Streptophyta; Magnoliopsida; Solanales; Solanaceae
Description: long non-coding RNA (NBEN_LNC017622)
Source: RNAcentral
CAUGACCCUUGAUAGAAAAGUCUGGAGGUCUAGAAUCAGGGUUGUAGGAUAGGGGCCCCUAGAGUUUUUCGUUCGCUUCUCCCGGGGUUGGGGGUGGGUCAGCAGGGUUACUCAUAGAUGAUUUGUGUUUACUGUACGUUAUUAUUACUUGCUAUUGUAUAUUGGUAUUUUGUUUCCUUUGUCCAGAUUAUUAUUAACGCUAUUUAUGCUGGAAUUUCUUAUGCAUGAAUGCUAUAUUGUUUCUGUUUUGUUUUUGUCUCUGUUAUGUUUUACUACUGUUUUCCCCCUAAUCCUAUGAGCCGAGGGUCGAUUGGAAACAGCCUCCC